This is a small nuclear RNA of Physeter macrocephalus (sperm whale), 120 nucleotides long. NCBI's taxonomy places the organism in Eukaryota, Metazoa, Chordata, Mammalia, Artiodactyla, Physeteridae. The record is from Ensembl.
GUGCUCACUUUUGUAGCACGUACACUAAGACUGAAACGAUACAGAGAAGAUUAGCAUGGCCCCUGACCGUAUGCAGUGCACUCCACGAAUAUGCAAAUUCGUGAAGUGUUCCAUAUUUUU